AGCAGCCGCGGUAAUUCCAGCUCCAAUAGCGUAUAUUAAAGUUGUUGCAGUUAAAAAGCUCGUAGUUGAAUUUCGGGGUCAGUAGGUUGGUCAUGCCACUGGUAUGUACUGGUCUCACUGAUUCCUCCUUCCUGAUGAACUGUAAUGCCAUUAAUUUGGUGUUGCAGGGAAUCUGGACUGUUACUUUGAAAAAAUUAGAGUGUUUAAAGCAGGCUAACGCCUGAAUACAUUAGCAUGGAAUAAUGAAAUAGGACGUUCGAUCCUAUUUUGUUGGUUUCUAGGAUUGACGUAAUGAUUAAUAGGGAUAGUUGGGGGCAUUAGUAUUCAAUUGUCAGAGGUGAAAUUCUUGGAUUUAUUGAAGACUAACUACUGCGAAAGCAUUUGCCAAGGAUGUUUUCAUUAAUCAAGAACGAAAGUUAGGGGAUCGAAGACGAUCAGAUACCGUCGUAGUCUUAACCAUAAACUAUAGCCGACUAGGGAUCGGAUGAUGUUAAUUUUUAAUGACUC
RNAcentral lists this ribosomal RNA (507 nucleotides) under uncultured Glomus. RNAcentral's name for it is "SSU rRNA". It matches the Rfam family "Eukaryotic small subunit ribosomal RNA", at positions 569 to 1077 of the family's 1831-position model. Lineage: Eukaryota; Fungi; Glomeromycota; Glomeromycetes; Glomerales; Glomeraceae. The record is from RNAcentral.